UUGUCUGCCUAUGCCGAUUGACGUUGUUUACACCUGGGUGAAUGGCACAGAUCUUGAACUACUGAAGGAACUACAGCAGGUCAGAGAACAGAUGGAGGAGGAGCAGAAAGCAAUGAGAGAAAUCCUUGGGAAAAACACAACAGAACCUACUAAGAAGAGUGAGAAGCAGUUAGAGUGUUUGCUAACACACUGCAUUAAGGUGCCAAUGCUUGUCCUUGACCCAGCCCUGCCAGCCAACAUCACCCUGAAGGACCUGCCAUCUCUUUAUCCUUCUUUUCAUUCUGCCAGUGACAUUUUCAAUGUUGCAAAACCAAAAAACCCUUCUACCAAUGUCUCAGUUGUUGUUUUUGACAGUACUAAGGAUGGUAAGAUCUUUUUAUGGAUAUUUUAAAAUCAUGUUAUCAUUGGAUGUUUGAAUAACAAAAUUCUGAGUGGAAUAGAAAUGAUUCAUUCUUAAAUGUCUGAUAAACUUUUCUAAAAAUGCACAAAGAGAAGCAAAACAGCUGCUAUUGUAUUUUGGCCUUAACCUCAAAAAGGGAUUGCUGCAUAUAUUUUACUCUGUGUAAUACACAUACCUUUCUGUGCUGUGAUGAGGACUUUCAAUCUGAUAUCACAAUUACCUUGUUCUCUUCGCUCUGAAUUAUUCUAGAGGCAAUUUUUCUACCAUAUAACUCCUCUACAAGGUAGCGUUCUGCAGUUUGGGCAGAACAUACCUGGAGUAUUGAUUCUUUACAUUCUGAAAUAUAUGAACUGAAUGUGUUUCCUCCAAAAUUUGUAUGUUGAAAUC
Molecule: small RNA, 787 nt
Filed under: Pan troglodytes (chimpanzee)
Lineage: Eukaryota; Metazoa; Chordata; Mammalia; Primates; Hominidae
Description: retained intron
Source: RNAcentral